Molecule: non-coding RNA, 27 nt
Filed under: Mus musculus (house mouse)
Lineage: Eukaryota; Metazoa; Chordata; Mammalia; Rodentia; Muridae
Source: RNAcentral
CAGAGCCUGUUACCUUCUUCCACUAUU